AGGAGCCCAGAAACUUACCAGAGGUACCGUGGUGACUUCAUCGACUGUGAGCUGCUGGUACAGGACCUGACCAUGGACCUGUGCAAACUAGCUUUCCUCUUGGGAUCCCUGAUCUGCACCGCAAGUGGUAUUGAAGUGGACGGCUACAUCAGAACUGAGGGAGAACAGAUCCUCUCACUGCAGAGAAGAUAUUACUUAGUCAGCUCUGUGGCUGAGUGUGCCGCCAAAUGUGACACUGAAACAUUCUUCACAUGCAGGUCUUUCACAUAUCAUGAGA
Molecule: non-coding RNA, 277 nt
Organism: Plectropomus leopardus (leopard coralgrouper)
Lineage: Eukaryota; Metazoa; Chordata; Actinopteri; Perciformes; Serranidae
Source: RefSeq, a predicted model, not a curated record